CCGUAGGUGACCUGCGGAAGGAUCAUUAUAGUAAGGGCCUUUUGGCCCAUUACGAGAUGCAACCCUUGUCUUUUUGUGCACCUUUGUUUCCUCGGCAGCCUAGCCUGCCAACGAGGACCCCAAAAAACCCUUUUGCAAUCCUAGUAUAACAUUCUGAAAGCAAACAAUAUUAAAACUUUCAACAAUGGAUCUCUUGGCUCUGGCAUCGAUGAAGAAACGCAGCGAAAUGCGAUAAGUAGUGGUGAAUUGCAGAAUUCAGUGAAUCAUCGAAUCUUUGAACGCACAUUGCGCCCUUUGGUAUUCCUUAGGGCAUGCCUGUUCGAGCGUCAUUUACAAAUUCAAGCUCAGCUUGGUGACGGGUGUCUGUCCUGCCUUUGCGCGUGGACUCGCCUUAAAUGCAGUUGGCAGCUUGUUCCUCGGCUCUAAACGCAGCAAAAUGUGUCGAGCGUCGAGCGGACGGGCUCUCCAGUAAGCAAACCCCCACAAAUUGACCUCGGAUCAGGUAGGGAUACCCGCUGAACUUAAGCAUAUCAAUAAGCGGAGGA
This 545-nucleotide ribosomal RNA is filed under the name uncultured Pleosporales. RNAcentral's name for it is "eukaryotic LSU rRNA". The stretch from base 174 to 329 matches the Rfam family "5.8S ribosomal RNA". The record is from RNAcentral. Lineage: Eukaryota; Fungi; Ascomycota; Dothideomycetes; Pleosporales.